Molecule: ribosomal RNA, 253 nt
Filed under: uncultured bacterium
Lineage: Bacteria
Description: partial 16S ribosomal RNA
Rfam family: Bacterial small subunit ribosomal RNA
Source: RNAcentral
UACGGAGGGUGCAAGCGUUAUCCGGAUUCACUGGGUGUAAAGGGUGCGUAGGUGGGCAAGUAAGUCAGUGGUGAAAUCUCCGGGCUUAACCCGGAAACUGCCAUUGAUACUAUUUGUCUUGAAUACUGUGGAGGUCAGCGGAAUAUGUCAUGUAGCGGUGAAAUGCUUAGAUAUGACAUAGAACACCAAUUGCGAAGGCAGCUGGCUACACAAAUAUUGACACUGAGGCACGAAAGCGUGGGGAUCAAACAGG